Molecule: ribosomal RNA, 433 nt
Filed under: uncultured bacterium
Lineage: Bacteria
Description: partial 16S ribosomal RNA
Rfam family: Bacterial small subunit ribosomal RNA
Source: RNAcentral
AACGAACGCUGGCGGCAUGCCUAACACAUGCAAGUCGAACGAGACCUUCGGGUCUAGUGGCGCACGGGUGCGUAACGCGUGGGAACCUGCCCUUAGGUUCAGAAUAACUCCCUGAAAGGGGUGCUAAUACCGGAUAAUGUCUUCGGACCAAAGAUUUAUCGCCUUUGGAUGGGCCCGCGUUGGAUUAGCUAGUUGGUAGGGUAAAAGCCUACCAAGGCGACGAUCCAUAGCUGGUCUGAGAGGAUGAUCAGCCACACUGGGACUGAGACACGGCCCAGACUCCUACGGGAGGCAGCAGUGGGGAAUAUUGGACAAUGGGCGAAAGCCUGAUCCAGCAAUGCCGCGUGAGUGAUGAAGGCCUUAGGGUUGUAAAGCUCUUUUACCCGGGAUGAUAAUGACAGUACCGGGAGAAUAAGCUCCGGCUAACUCCGUG